Molecule: ribosomal RNA, 398 nt
Filed under: uncultured bacterium
Lineage: Bacteria
Description: partial 16S ribosomal RNA
Rfam family: Bacterial small subunit ribosomal RNA
Source: RNAcentral
AAUAUUGCACAAUGGAGGAAACUCUGAUGCAGCGACGCCGCGCGAACGAUGAAGGCUUUCGAGUCGUAAAGUUCUGUCCUUGGGGACGAUAAUGACGGUACCCCAGGAGGAAGCACCGGCUAACUACGUGCCAGCAGACGCGGGAAUACCGAGGGGGCUAGCGUUGUCCGGAUUUAUUGGUCGUAAAGGGUUCGCAGGCGGCCUUUUAAGUUAGAUGUGAAAAACUACAGCUCAACUGUGGUAAGCAUUUGAAACUGAAAGGCUUGAGUUAAGGAGAGGAAAGUGGAAUUCCUAGUGUAGCGGUGAAAUGCGUAGAUAUUAGGAGGAAUACCAGUGGCGAAGGCGACUUUCUGGACUUAUACUGACGCUGAGGAACGAAAGCGUGGGGAGCAAACAGG